This 468-nucleotide ribosomal RNA is filed under the name Salmonella enterica. Its description in RNAcentral is "partial 23S ribosomal RNA". It matches the Rfam family "Bacterial large subunit ribosomal RNA", at positions 745 to 1211 of the family's 2925-position model. Lineage: Bacteria; Pseudomonadati; Pseudomonadota; Gammaproteobacteria; Enterobacterales; Enterobacteriaceae. RNAcentral also lists the same sequence under 1 other name. The record is from RNAcentral.
UUGAAGGUUGGGUAACACUAACUGGAGGACCGAACCGACUAAUGUUGAAAAAUUAGCGGAUGACCUGUGGCUGGGGGUGAAAGGCCAAUCAAACCGGGAGAUAGCUGGUUCUCCCCGAAAGCUAUUUAGGUAGCGCCUCGUGAAUUCAUCUCCGGGGGUAGAGCACUGUUUCGGCUAGGGGGCCAUCCCGGCUUACCAACCCGAUGCAAACUGCGAAUACCGGAGAAUGUUAUCACGGGAGACACACGGCGGGUGCUAACGUCCGUCGUGAAGAGGGAAACAACCCAGACCGCCAGCUAAGGUCCCAAAGUCAUGGUUAAGUGGGAAACGAUGUGGGAAGGCCCAGACAGCCAGGAUGUUGGCUUAGAAGCAGCCAUCAUUUAAAGAAAGCGUAAUAGCUCACUGGUCGAGUCGGCCUGCGCGGAAGAUGUAACGGGGCUAAACCAUGCACCGAAGCUGCGGCAGCGA